UACGGAAGGUCCGGGCGUUACCCGGAUUUAUUGGGUUUAAAGGGAGCGCAGGCGGGACCUUAAGCGUGACGUGAAAUGUAGUUGCUCAACAUCUGCACUGCGUCGCGAACUGGGGUUCUUAGUGCAUUCGACGUCAGCGGAAUUCGUGGUGUAGCGGUGAAAUGCUUAGAUAUCACGAAGAACUCCGAUUGCGAAGGCAGCCAACAAGGCCUUUACUGACGCUAAAGCUCGAAGGUGCGGGUAUCGAACA
Molecule: ribosomal RNA, 250 nt
Filed under: uncultured prokaryote
Description: partial 16S ribosomal RNA
Rfam family: Bacterial small subunit ribosomal RNA
Source: RNAcentral